CCUACGGGAGGCAGCAGUGAGGAAUAUUGGUCAAUGGGAGAGAUCCUGAACCAGCCAAGCCGCGUGAGGGAAGACGGCCCUAUGGGUUGUAAACCUCUUUUGUCAGAGAACAAAACCCGGGACGUGUCCCCGGCUGCGUGUAACCGAAGAAAAAGCAUCGGCUAACUCCGUGCCCGCAGCCGCGGUAAUACGGAGGAUGCGAGCGUUAUCCGGUUUUAUUGGGUUUAAAGGGUGCGUAGGCGGUCCGUUAAGUCAGCGGUAAAAUUGCGGGGCUCAACCCCGUCGAGCGGUUGAAAAUGGCAGACUUGAGUGGGCGAGAAGUACGCGGAAUGCGCGGUGUAGCGGUGAAAUGCAUAGAUAUCGCGCAGAACUCCGAUUGCGAAGGCAGCGUACCGGCGCCAGACUGACGCUGAGGCACGAAAGCGUGGGGAUCGAACAGGAUUAGAUACCCCAGUAGUC
This 459-nucleotide ribosomal RNA is filed under the name uncultured bacterium. RNAcentral describes it as "partial 16S ribosomal RNA". It matches the Rfam family "Bacterial small subunit ribosomal RNA", at positions 338 to 795 of the family's 1533-position model. The record is from RNAcentral.